Molecule: long non-coding RNA, 7767 nt
Filed under: Homo sapiens (human)
Lineage: Eukaryota; Metazoa; Chordata; Mammalia; Primates; Hominidae
Description: HSALNT0368965
Source: RNAcentral
GUAUGUAUGUGUGUAUAUAUAUACAUCUAUCUCUAUAUCUAUAUCUAUAUCCAUAUCUAUAUGUCUCACCCAGGAGAGAGUGCAUAUGCGUGAGAGAGAAGCAAGAAGGAAUAAGGAAAACAAAAGUAAAGGGAGUGAGAAGAGGAAGAGUUAAUGAAUAGUUUUCUCUCAUUCUGCUAAAAAUGCCUGUAUGCUCUCUUUUUUCAAUCCAGAAAAUAAAGUCCCAAACUAAUGUGGCACUCUUACAAUUUAAUCAUCAAUUCAUUGUGAACAACUGGAUGAGGAAAAGUUGCCCAGAGUUACCAAAAAUAAAAUUCUUUAGAAAGGAGAAAAGCCAUGCCUUAGGAAAUUGGUAGAAGAUAUGUGAUGGACACAGCAGCUUCUCAUCAAUUGACUUGGUUUUACGUUAAAGGAAACAUGCAAAUCUUUGUAGGUUAAACCACAUAUGAAAUUCAUGAGAGCCUCUUGGGCUUUAGGCACUGACUCUGUGGAAAUACUAGCUGUAAGCUGCUUUCUUAGGGAAGGGAUGUUUAUUCUGUCACGGUGCUACUGAAACAGCUCAAAGUUACCACCUUAGAAAUCUAGCUUUCACCAGGUACUUUAAAAUUCCUUUAAAAAAGUGUAUUUUAUUAAUUUCAUUCAUAAUUUAUUAGCCCUUAAAUUUUUCCAGUAGCAUUUGAUCUGCCAGAGCUUCCAAAUGUAGGAUAUUUUGUACUUCGAAUGCAAACUAGUUGUCUCUUGAAACUGGGUAAUGGGAAAAAUUUAGCACAGAAAUAUCCCUGUGACCAAGUUUCUGAGUAAACGUGCUAGGGGAUUCAGUUGGGUGCUAAGAAUACACGGAAGAAUACACUCAUGCAUCCCUCCUUUGAUUAAUGCAACAAAUAUUUAUUGUCUACUUCGUGUCAGACAUUGUUUGCUUCUUGCUUUAGGGAUUAAGCAGUGAACAAAGCUGUUGAGGACCUUGUCCUUAUGAAGCACAUGUCCAGAGUUAUGGGAAGCAGAAAGAAAAAAAAUACUGCAAAUACUUUAUAUUGUAUGUUGUAAAAUAAAGCAGGACAGGUGGAUCAUACCACUCCUUUGUUUAAAUUCGUCAUUUAUUUCUGUGACUUUAGGAGGGAGUCUAAAUCCCUUGCCUGUAUCCUGGCACUCUGUUUCUUCAGGCUUCUCUCUUGUUGCCCCCAUUCUUACUCAAGGCUGCAACUUUCUCUUUUCUUGGCUUGACCCUAGGACUUUUCAAAUAUACCUCUGAGACCCUUUAUCCUCUGCUCCAUCACUAUCUUGCCUACACCUGGCCAGCUCCCGCUGAACCUUACGUCUCAGCCUAAAUACUGCUCUUUUCAGGAAGUCCCAAAAUUCUCCCUCCAAGUCUGGUUGUGCAUUGUCAUGAGUGGUCCCUUACCACCUGGUACAUCCAUUCAUCUCUUAACAUGGCGCUUGUUGCCCUGUAUUAUGGCACUUGUGUGUGUUUUGUGUGUGUGUUGGGGGGAAGGUGUUGUUUUGUUCUGCUUUUGUUUGACUGGCACACAGUUCAUACUUGAUUAAUGGGUGAAUGGAUAGAUGACAGAGUGGAUGGAUGAAGGAAUGAAUGUGAUAAUGUAAUGUACUCUAUCUGAUACUGGACUUUUUAAGGCUGUAGAGACUCCCAUUCUUUGAGUUCACACCCAAUAGUCCUCCUUUUCCUAAUUCCUCUAACGGUGAGUAAAUUUUCUUAUUAGUGACUCACCAAUUUUUCCCGCAGCAGGUGGACAAAACCUCUUUAGUAGACUAGCCUUUCUUAAGCCAGUGGGGGGAGAAAAGAUUCUAUCUUUUAGGGAAUUGAAGGCUAUGAUGUAAUGUUAAUAGCAUAGGAGAGAGCAGAAGCUUUGCGUGUCUGAAGCAUGGCUCUGUGUUGAAAGCUCUUGAGAACACUAUGCCGGGGGUGCUUUUCUAAAUCAAACUUCAUCCAUGAAAUGUAAUUUGGGGAACUUUCCACGUGGCGCCGUGUGGACUCUGGCAGACAAUAGUAUUUUUAUUUGCUAGUAGUUUUCUUUCGGAGAGGGAGAGUGAUUUCGCUAUUUGGUUUUUUCUUCCAUUUAGUGCUGCAUAAUGCUUAUUAGAGACAAAAUCUUACUACUUCCCUGCUUCGCGUGCUGUAAGCUACCUAAAUGUGUUCUAAGUAUUGUCUUAGAGGGCGUGUGUGUGUGUGUGUGUGUGUGUGUGUGUGUGUGUGUGUGUGUGUGUGUGUGUGUUUAGGAAUUUGAGCCAGCCCCCACCAUUUUCCUGCCCUCCCUGAGGCUGCAGGACUUUAGGAUUUAUUGUAGCCACUCUUAGAAGGACAGUUGCAGUUGUGUCUGUAGAGAGAGCCUAUAAAUAUCAGGGCAUUUGGUAACUGAGAGUAGAGACAACUGUCAUAAUCAUGGGUUCUGCAAAGACUUGAGUCUGCUGGAAGCAGUGUCUUGGGGUCGGCAACAGGCCCUUCAGGAGGAUGGCUGGGGAGGGGUUUGGGGACAAUCAAAAGGACUAUAUUUUGCAACUCGCUUAUUUUCCUGAAAUGAAAUUCAUAGGUAAGUAUAGUCCUGCUAUGCACAUACUUUGCAAAAUCUAACAUAAUGAUCUACCUGUAAUAUAAUAUUCAUUUUAGCUUACAAAUGCUAAAAAUAACUAUAUUAGACAUAAUGAAGUAGUCAAAUGCUUGUACCUAACACAAUAAAUGUGUUUGGAUGUAAGAAAGUAAAAUCAUAUUCAACUGAAUAACGCUCAUGUUUUUGUAUAUGAGAUAUUUUGUAUAAGAGAUAUUCUAAAAUUUUCAUGUGUCCUAAAUCAGACUCAGCCUAAUUUUCUCACCACCCUUCUCCGUGUUACCCUCCAACUGGUUCCUAAACCAAUCUCUAAUCACUAUAGUGUGUCAAAAAUCCUGUGUUUCCUCUUCAUCUCACUCCUGCCCUACCCUCUCCUGCCUCUGAUUUAUGACAACAGCCGUCUAACUGGUUUGUCUGUCUCUAGGGUGUUUUAGAAAGUUGCGUGGUCACCACAGUAAUGGGGUGGUGAUGAGUAUUUGGUGAGUACUGGCCAGGAAUUCUAGAAAGCCUAACAUGCAUGGAGCAAUGCAUAGAACAGUGCAUGAAAAAGUGCAAAAAUGUCCUGGGUCCCACAUAACAUUUACUCAUCCUCUGUACCCUGUGGAGAUGAACUUUUAUAAUUACCUAAACCUAGAAAUUAAUUCUAGAAUCAAUCUGGGAACUUUUUAGUUUUUUGGGGAAACUUCUUUGUCAUUGAAUUUAUAUGCACAAAGUGGACUAAAUUAUUAUCUUAUAAAUCUGUUUCGUGACUGUGGUUAUUUCUCAUUUUUUUUCUUUCACUAUACUUGCCUAGGUAACUAACGCAUGGAUUAUACAUUUUAAUGUGUGUUCAUUUUUCAAAGAGCCAGCUUUUAAUGUAUGUAUUAGCUCCAUUACUUUUCUGUUUCUGAUUCAUUGAUUGGAUUUUAUUUAUAGAAUUUGCUUUCUUCUACUUUCUUUAAGAGUAAUUUGAAGUUCCUUUCUAAAUUCUUAUUUUUCUUUUUUUUCCUGUUUAGUAAUUUUUGUUUUAAACUAUGAAUUUUCUUCUGACUUGUGGUUAUAUUAAAAUUUUAUUUAUCAUUAGUUUUUAGGGAUUUUGCAGUGUUGGAUUUAAUUUCCAUGUUGGAUUUCUCAUGAGUUAAGAGAUAUUCUAAAAUUUUCAUGUGGCAAAGAUUUAUUUUCCUAUUUUUGUUAUUAAUUUCUAAUUUUAAUGCAUUAUGAUCAAAGAAUAUGAUCUAUACUAUUCCUAUGUUUUGAAACUGAGGUUUCCUAUGUGGCCUGCUGUGGAUUGAAUUGUAAAAUAUGUUACAGUUCUAAUCCCUUGGUACCUGUGAAUAUGACCUUAUUUGGAAAUAAGGUCUUUGCAUAUAUAAUCAAGUAAAGAUGAUGUCAUAAGUCAAAAAGUAACUGAGACAGGUCUCAAUCAAUUUUGAAGUUUAUUUUGCCAAGGUUAAGGAUUAUGACCUAUUAGGAGGUCCUAGGAACAUUGGCCGAAGGUGGUUGGGUUACAUCUUGGUUUUAUGUGUUUUAGGGAACAUAAGACAUCAAUCAAUAUGUAUGAAAUAUACAUUGGUUUAAUAAGGAAAGGCAGGACAACUUGAAGUGGCAGGGCUUACUGGUCGUAGGUGGAUUCAAAGAUUUUCUGAUUAGCAAUUGGUUGAAAGGGUGAAGCUGUGCCUGAAGAGUUGAAACUAGCCUGAGUUAAGGCAAGUUGGGAGGGCUAGAGAAGCCUAGGUUCUUGUUAUGUAGAUGAAGCCUCUGGGUAGCAGGCUUCAGAGAGAAUAGAUGUGAACAUCUCUUAUCAAAGGUGUCAGGCUCUCUGGAGAGACCUAGUAAAGGAAGGAGAAUCUCUAUAGAGUGUAAAACUUCCUCCACAAGAGACAGGUUUGCAGUGCUAUUUCAAAAUAUGUUUUUUCUUUCAGGACUUUGCUGUCAUGUAAUGCUGUACUAGAGACAGGUUAGAAUUUGGUAUCUUAUGGCUAUAAAGAGUCUGUUCUGUCAGUCUUAGGAUCUCUGUUAUAAUGUUAAUGCUGGUCAAUUUUGUGCCUGAAUUCCAAAAAGAGGAGAGUAUAAUGAGUCAUGUUCAACAUCCCCUGCCCCACUCCACCAUCCCAUCAUGAUCCAAACUAGAUUUUCAGGUUUCUUUGGAUCCCCUUGGUUGAGACGAGGGUCCAUUCAGUCUGUGCGUGGGGUUAGAAUUUUAUUUUUGGAACACAAUAUCAUACUGCCAUACUGGAUUGGAUUUAAUAACUAGUCUAAUCCAAUAACUGGUGUUCUUUUAAGAAAAGGGAAACUUGGACACAGAGAUACACACAGCAAACACUAUGUGACAAUAGAGACAGAGAUUCUAGUGAUGUAUCCACAAACCGAGGAAGGCCCAGGAUUCCUGGCAAUCACCGGAAGCCAGGAAGAGGCAAGGAAGGGUCCUCCUCUAGAGCCUUCAGAGAGAGCACGGCCCUGCUGACACUGAGAGAAUAAAUUUCUAUUGGUUGAAGCCACAUAGCUUGUGAUUCUUUGUUAUGACAGCCCUAGGCAACUAAUAUGUAGCCUAAUAAGACAUGGCCAAACUUUGUAGAUGAAAGGAGCUUGAAAGGGAGGUAUAUAUUUUUCCAUGUGAGGAUCUACCUUCUUAAUUAUGUUAAGUCCUCUAUGUCUUUUCUUAUUUUUGGUUUAUUUGAGUUAUCAAAGACAGAGAGAUAAAUUAAACUUAUUUAUGGCUACUGUCUCUCUAUUUUUCCUUAUAUUUUAAUAAUUUUUGCUUUAAGAAUGUAGAUGUGAUGCUAUUUGAUGUAGAUGCAUUAGGCUCAGAAUUUCAUUGUGGGUUGCAUUUACUUAUUAUUACCAUAAAGUUCUAUUCCUCGAAUUCAACCAUGCCUAACAUUAAUAUCCUUAAUAUCCUGACCCCUGCUUUACUUUUAUUUUCAUUUGCUUACUGUAUUUUCCCAUCCUAAAAGGAUGGAAAUGAUACUUCCAAUUUUUUGAGUAACUUUUCUUACAUAUUAUAUCACUUUUUUGAGUUUAGACUUCUUAAAAUCCAAUUAGAGUCCUUUAAAGAAGUGAAUGUGUCUGACUUUUAUUUAUCUGACAUACAUGUUUGGUUUCUCUUAUAUCAUCUUAAAUUGUUUUAUUACAGUAGUCACCCCUUUUCCACAGGGGAUACAUUCCAGGAUCCCCAAUGGAUGUCUGAAACUGCUUAUAAUACUGAACUCUAUAUAUACUGUACUAUCGUUUCUCCUAUACAAUCACAUUGUAGAGGGUGGGUAGCGUAUCAAACAUGACUAUGCUGGACAAAGGGAUGAUUCAUGUUCCAGGCAAGAUAGAGCAGGAUGAAGCAGGAUGGUAUAAGAUUUCAUCACACUACUCAGAAUGGUGUUCAAUUGAAAACUUAGGAAUUACUUAUUUCUGGAAUUUUCCAUUUAAUAUUUUUGGACCUAGGUUGACCCAGUAGGUGAAACCUUGGAAAAUAAAGCCAUGGAUAAGGGGGGACUGCUGUAUAUGUUUUCUUUUGAAAUAUUUUGCUCUGUUGGUGUUUUCUCUAUUUUCUUUUGUGUGUUUUCUCAUAGCGAGGAAGUUUUACAGCCUACUUUUAGUUAUUUGUGCAUAGGCAUUCUCUGUGGUUUGUGUACAUGCCUUGGUGUGUGUAGGUAGUAAGGUGAAAGAGCCUGUGUGAAAGAAUAAAGAUGUAAGAGAAUUUGAUGUGCUCCAGGAAUGGCAAAAAGAUCUCGAUAACUAGAGCACAGGCUGUGUCAUGGUACAUUAGCCUGGAGAGCUAGGCAGAAGGCAGGCCAUUGUGAAUCUCCUUAGAUGUUUGAGAACCACUGAAAGAUUCUGAGCAGGUGUGAAACAAAAACAAACCAGUGAGCAAACUCUCUGGCAGCCAAAUGGAAGAUGGUUGAGGCUAGGGUGAGAGGAGUGACUAGAAGCAGGUCAACAAAUUAGAUCUCCAUCAUAUUAUCUCAGGUGAGAGGUAAUGAGAGCUUGUGUGAAGCCUAUGAUAGCACAGGUUGAGAGAAAAGAGUAUGUAACAGGUACAAAAGAUUGUAGGUUGAUUAUACACGGAGGUUGGGUAGAGAAAGGGACUAUCUAAGGUAACUCCAGGUUCAUGGACAUGUAAGUGGACUAUAGUUCUAUUCAUUGGGAUAAGGACCUAGAAGGAUGGGCAAGUUUAAAGAAAACAUGCUGAGUUCAGGUCUGAACAGGAUGAAUUACAAUCACCUGUGGGAUACCCAGUACUAGCUAAUUGGCAGUGGAAAUCAAGGCUGGAAUAUAAAGCUGGGAACCCUUUGGGUAUGAGUGGCAGCUGAAGCCAUGGUUUGGGAUAAAGCUACAAGAGAAAGUAGCUGUGCUCAAGUAGUAGCUUAGCUGUGCUCUCCAAUACAGCAGCCACUAGUUGCAUGUGGCUAUUCCAAUUUAACCAUGAGUUAAUUAAACUGAAAUAAAAUUAAAAAUUCAGCUCCUCAGCUGCACAAGCCACAUUUCAAGAGCUCAAAGACUGCAUAUGGCUUGCAGCUACCAUAUGGGACAGCACAGAUUAUAGAACAUCAUCAAAGAAAGUCCUAUUGGACAGCUCUGGUACAGAGUGAAAAGGGAGAGGUUCAACAUAUAUCAGGACCCUGUUGUUAUUGAUAACUAGGUGUUUAUUAAAAAAGAAGAGUCCAAUGAAACAGGCAGAGAAGGAGUGUCCAUCCAUUGAAUGUCUUUGAAUGGGCUGAGCAUGAGAUGCUUUUCUUGCAUUAUCCCUAAUCCCCAAACUGCCCUAUAAUGUUGGUAAUAUUAAUUAUUUUUAUUGAAAGUUGUCAAGAUUAAUGCCUCAAGAUCCCAGACUAGUAAGUAGCAGAGCUGGAAUUGUAACCCAAAUGCAUGUAGUAUCCUAAAUUCAGUAACAUUUCAAUUGCCCCAGGUUGCCUGUCCUGAGAAAACUCAAAGACAAUGGUGCCAAGGAAGAACAGAAUUUCAUAAAUGAAGAAUGACAGAUGGCACUAAGAGUUCAAGUAAGAAGAGUCUUGGAGAUUCUCAGCAAACAAUCUCAGUUAAGAAAGAGGAAAUGAAGUUAUUUAUGUGACUGAAUUUGCAUAGCAGAGACUACAGUUCCACCAAAUACUCGAUGAGAAAAUGAGUCUCGACUUGCAGAGCCAAGAUGACCAAAUAGGAACAGCUCCAGUCUACAGCUCCCAGCCUGAGCGACGCAGAAGAUGGGUGAUUUCUGCAUUUCCAUCUGAGGUACCGGGUU